CAGACCCAAAGAUCAGCUCAGAGCUCCAAGUCUUCCUUUCAAGAUCGGCACUGAAACCAGCCAGAGACCAACUGUGCACACUCCCUGGAUCUGGGGAUAGGACUAAAUAGACGUGGCUAAGGAGCAGACGUGCCUUCUCCUCCCUCUUGUUCCCCCAUCUGUAAUGGCUCUGAAGGUCCGUGCUGAAGUUGGCCAAGUGACAAACUGGAAGGAACCUGGAUCCCUGAAUCACCAUGUUGAAGGCCUUCAACACCAAACAUCCACAUUAGACAGAUGUAUUUCUCCAGCCUGGAGAUCUCUGGAUCUGGGGAUAGGACUAAACAGUGAUCUCCAAUAUGGGAAGAAAACAAAAAGAGAAAAAGAAAAGAAAAAACUGUCCUCCUUGGUUGGCUGGGGGCUCUACUCCACAUAGUCCUCCGAGACCCGAGGUGACAGUUGACACCACGCUGUAGCUGUACUAUCCGGAACAAGGUGCCUCCUCAAUCACUGAACAUGGGAAGAGAGAGUAAAGAAUGGC
Long non-coding RNA from Mirounga angustirostris (Northern elephant seal), 517 nucleotides. RefSeq lists it as uncharacterized. The record is from RefSeq and is a predicted model, not a curated record. Lineage: Eukaryota; Metazoa; Chordata; Mammalia; Carnivora; Phocidae. The transcript has 5 exons.